CUCGUCACACUAUCAUUAACUGAAUCCAUAGGUUAAUGAGGCGAACCGGGGGAACUGAAACAUCUAAGUACCCCGAGGAAAAGAAAUCAACCGAGAUUCCCCCAGUAGCGGCGAGCGAACGGGGAGGAGCCCAGAGCCUGAAUCAGCAUGUGUGUUAGUGGAAGCGUCUGGAAAGGCGCGCGAUACAGGGUGACAGCCCCGUACACAAAAGCGCAUGUGCUGUGAGCUCGAUGAGUAGGGCGGGACACGUGGUAUCCUGUCUGAAUAUGGGGGGACCAUCCUCCAAGGCUAAAUACUCCUGACUGACCGAUAGUGAACCAGUACCGUGAGGGAAAGGCGAAAAGAACCCCGGCGAGGGGAGUGAAAAAGAACCUGAAACCGUGUACGUACAAGCAGUGGGAGCCCCACCACCAAAGCAUUUGCUGUACCGCGUUGACGGAGCGAAGCGACGUCAAACCGAUAAAACAGCAGUGUAAAGUGAGCCGCAGGGCGCUUU
RNAcentral lists this ribosomal RNA (496 nucleotides) under Salmonella enterica subsp. enterica serovar Enteritidis. RNAcentral describes it as "partial 23S ribosomal RNA". The stretch from base 1 to 388 matches the Rfam family "Bacterial large subunit ribosomal RNA", at positions 139 to 565 of the family's 2925-position model. Lineage: Bacteria; Pseudomonadati; Pseudomonadota; Gammaproteobacteria; Enterobacterales; Enterobacteriaceae. The record is from RNAcentral.